GUGGGGAAUAUUGGACAAUGGGGGCAACCCUGAUCCAGCCAUGCCGCGUGAGUGAUGAAGGUCUUCGGAUUGUAAAGCUCUUUUGGCGGGGACGAUAAUGACGGUACCCGCAGAAUAAGCCCCGGCUAACUUCGUGCCAGCAGCCGCGGUAAUACGAAGGGGGCUAGCGUUGCUCGGAAUCACUGGGCGUAAAGCGCACGUAGGCGGGCUUUUAAGUCGGAGGUGAAAUCCCAGGGCUCAACCCUGGAACUGCCUUCGAUACUGAGAGUCUUGAGUCCGGAAGAGGUGAGUGGAACUCCGAGUGUAGAGGUGAAAUUCGUAGAUAUUCGGAAGAACACCAGUGGCGAAGGCGGCUCACUGGUCCGGUACUGACGCUGAGGUGCGAAAGCGUGGGGAGCAAACAGGAUUAGAAACCCGGGUAGUCC
RNAcentral lists this ribosomal RNA (425 nucleotides) under uncultured bacterium. RNAcentral describes it as "bacterial SSU rRNA". It matches the Rfam family "Bacterial small subunit ribosomal RNA", at positions 354 to 796 of the family's 1533-position model. The record is from RNAcentral.